This 301-nucleotide ribosomal RNA is filed under the name uncultured bacterium. Its description in RNAcentral is "partial 16S ribosomal RNA". It matches the Rfam family "Bacterial small subunit ribosomal RNA", at positions 509 to 807 of the family's 1533-position model. The record is from RNAcentral.
CAGCCGCCGCGGUAAUACGAAGGGGGCUAGCGUUGCUCGGAAUUACUGGGCGUAAAGGGCGCGUAGGCGGACAGUUCAGUCGGGGGUGAAAGCCCGGGGCUCAACCUCGGAAUUGCCUUCGAUACUGGCUGUCUUGAGUAUGAGAGAGGUGUGUGGAACUCCGAGUGUAGAGGUGAAAUUCGUAGAUAUUCGGAAGAACACCAGUGGCGAAGGCGACACACUGGCUCAUUACUGACGCUGAGGCGCGAAAGCGUGGGGAGCAAACAGGAUUAGAUACCCCAGUAGUCCCUGUCUCUUAUAC